UGACAACCAUUGUGACUGCCUAGCAACUUC
Molecule: non-coding RNA, 30 nt
Filed under: Mus musculus (house mouse)
Lineage: Eukaryota; Metazoa; Chordata; Mammalia; Rodentia; Muridae
Source: RNAcentral